Molecule: ribosomal RNA, 375 nt
Filed under: uncultured bacterium
Lineage: Bacteria
Description: bacterial SSU rRNA
Rfam family: Bacterial small subunit ribosomal RNA
Source: RNAcentral
UAAUACGUAGGUGGCAAGCGUUAUCCGGAAUUAUUGGGCGUAAAGCGCGCGCAGGCGGUUUCUUAAGUCUGAUGUGAAAGCCCACGGCUCAACCGUGGAGGGUCAUUGGAAACUGGGGAACUUGAGUGCAGAAGAGGAAAGCGGAAUUCCACGUGUAGCGGUGAAAUGCGUAGAGAUGUGGAGGAACACCAGUGGCGAAGGCGGCUUUUUGGUCUGUAACUGACGCUGAGGCGCGAAAGCGUGGGGAGCAAACAGGAUUAGAUACCCUGGUAGUCCACGCCGUAAACGAUGAGUGCUAAGUGUUAGAGGGUUUCCGCCCUUUAGUGCUGCAGCUAACGCAUUAAGCACUCCGCCUGGGGAGUACGGUCGCAAGAC